Microtus oregoni (creeping vole) is the source of this 510-nucleotide long non-coding RNA. RefSeq lists it as uncharacterized. NCBI's taxonomy places the organism in Eukaryota, Metazoa, Chordata, Mammalia, Rodentia, Cricetidae. The record is from RefSeq and is a predicted model, not a curated record. The transcript is spliced from 4 exons.
AGCUGCUUGUCUUCCUAGGACACAGCGGUGUUUACCAUACAGAGCACCAGGUUAUGCGACGUUCGGGCUUCCUGAGAGACCAUGGAAGACUUCCUGCAGUUCUGGAGUCUGUAUCCUAAGUGUCUCUCUCAGCCUCUUCCUCAGGAUCUGCACUCACUGGACAGCAUCUACACUCACUGGGAAGUAACUUGUCUGUGAAAAGAAAGUCAGGCGAGACAUGACUUAAGGGUUCUACUGUUCUUAGAUCUGUGAAAUUAGGUACACGGGAGUCUGCAGAGCUGCGCUCGCUCCUGGCACUCAUCACCCAAGGGCAUCUGCAAACUGAGAGGAGAUUUAGGAAGAUGCAGUUCACUCUCAGGGAAUUCCAAAGAUGCCUGGAAUCCAUCACCUCUCCAUUCCUUGAAUUAUCUAGCAUGCCUGGAGGUCCUAUAAUCACUGUCCGCCACUCACCGGGAAGCUUAACCCUGCAUUGGAAACAUCUGUUUCACAGAAUGAGAAAAGGAAGGAGGC